GUUUAAACCACCGCCACCGCCGGUUGACAUCAUGUCCGCCGUUUCACGUUCAACCUCCAAACCAGACACCGUUCGCUCGCCGCUCACCGCCGUUCAUCAGUCUAAUUCCCGGGCCUUCACCCUUGCCCCGACUGACUGGUGUACAUGAACGGCCUGACAGUCUUGCUCCGUCUAACCUGACAGCCUCGCUCCCAUAAGGUGCUGGAAUGCAACUUUGUCAUGCACUCAGAAGUUCGCUUCCUUCGGGUGAUUAAGGAUCGCCAAUACCAGCUCGACAUUGUGCUGGCCGGCCACCGAGGAGCUGGUGACAACGACGAAGCUGUUGCUUUGGGAGGCCACGUUGGCAGGGAUAAAGUCAUCGAUCGCAUAAUGCAAAGAUAUUGGUGGAGCAACGUUACAUCUGAUGUAGUUGAAACCAUCAAAACUUGCUCACGGUGCCAAAAAGCCAGCACUGUGUUCAAGAAAGUGGACCCGAAACUGCGCAGUAUCCCAAGUCCUCCAACGGUCAUGUCGCCAUUGUGAUAGCCGUUUGUUAUUUUUCCAAGUGGAUUGAGGCUCGCCCUUUAAAAUCGAAGGAAGCUGUAGAAGUGGCUCGGUUCCUGUACGAGGACAUUAUCUGUCGUCAUGGAUGUGUUGCCAUACAGAUCAAUGACCAGGGCAGAGAAUUUGUGAACUCAGUCUCAGCAGAGCUCCACACGCUCACUGGAACAACGCAAAGAAUCACACCUGCUUAUCAUCCUCAAGAAAGUAUUCAUCGUAAUAUUAUAAUGAUUAUAUUUGUUUGUUUGGGCUUAUUCUUUCCUCUGUUUGAAAGCAAUGCCACUAUUUUGUCAUUUUUUUUAUCUUGUUGAAAAAAUACCAAUAUAUUUUUCCAACAAAAAAAUUACCGAUUUGUUCAUUUCAGGCCAAUGGAUUAGUCGAGCGCAGCAACAGAACAGUUCAAACUCUUCUCCUUCGAACUCCGAGUGAUCGACAUGAAAACUGGGACAAAUGUUUGCACGGCGUCUGCGAGUUCUUGUCGAAACGUCUGUGUGUACUGUUAUUAGUUUUUUAAUUGCAUUGUUUCUUUUUUUAGAUCUACAGUCCAGGCCUCCACGAGGUUUUUACCAUUCAAGAUGUUACAUGGCCGAGAACCUGUCCUUCCCAUCGAUGUGGACCACGAGUUCGCUGACUGCACCUCCGAUCCUGACGAUCCUAAAUUUGAGGAGUCUGACUUCCCUGCUACACUCUCAAAGCUCGAAAUAUUACAGGAUGUUGUUUUCAAGACAGCUGAUGCCAACAUUGAGCGAGCUCAGGCAAAACAGCAAGCUGAUCUUGCAAAGAGGCGAUACAAACAAAAGAAUUUCAUCGUGGGUGACAAGGUGUUGCGUUACAACCUCCGCAGAGCCGAUAGAAAAGGAGGCAAGCAAACCGAUCCAUGGGGUGGUCCGUACGAGGUGGCUCAAGUUUGCGAGAAGGGGCUGUACUGUCUCAUUAAUUCAUCCACGAAAGUCACCCUCAAGACGAAAGUGAACGGAUGCAACCUGAAGUCCUUCUUCGAACGCACUCCAGAAACUUUACCAACGACUCCCUCAGUUACGUCAUCUCCGCCAUCUCCAGGAGUCCAAAUAGUCGGGGUUCAGCAAGAGAAGAUUACUUACAAGUUCUCUCCAUUGACGGUUGCAACGCAGCGAGCAAUCUGCAACAACUCUGGUGGUCGUCUGGUAUUCAAGAAAAUAUCAGAUCCAUCCGGAAAAAAAUAAGACCAUCAAAAACACCAACGAACCUCUUGCCGUUAAAGUAAUUGAAGGUGACGGAAAUUGUCUUUUCCGUGCAUUCUCAUAUGCCAUCACUGGAGAAGAGGACCAACACGACGUUGUCAGAAGCUUGAUCUGUGAUUUCAUUGCCAGCAAUGAAAACAUCAAAGUUGAAUCAAUGCGUCAGAAUAAAGUGUGGGGAACAACAACAGAGAUGUUAGCAGCAGCCAACAUGUUCCAUGUGAAUGUAUGUGUGUGGGCAAAGUUCGGUUCUAUGCACACAUGGCAUAUACAUAGGCCGAAAUGCAGAGAAGUAGUAAAUGAGUCAGUGUACCUCGACAAUAAAGCAGGCAACCAUUUUAAUGUAGUUAUUCGUGUGUAAUGUGCACAUGAUUAGUGGUUAGUUUUUGGAUGGGAUACAACAUUAAUGUAUUGUAGUAUGAAUACUGAUUAGUUUUUGCAUGGGAGUCAACAUCAAUAAAUCUUUUUCAUCCAAUAAUGUGUCAUUUCAAC
This is a long non-coding RNA of Eriocheir sinensis (Chinese mitten crab), 2249 nucleotides long. RefSeq lists it as uncharacterized. The record is from RefSeq and is a predicted model, not a curated record. Lineage: Eukaryota; Metazoa; Arthropoda; Malacostraca; Decapoda; Varunidae. The transcript is spliced from 6 exons.